Oncorhynchus tshawytscha (Chinook salmon) is the source of this 413-nucleotide long non-coding RNA. The record is from Ensembl. NCBI's taxonomy places the organism in Eukaryota, Metazoa, Chordata, Actinopteri, Salmoniformes, Salmonidae.
UGGCAGCUGCUGUAAAGAGAGAGAGAGGGAACAGGAGAGUAAGGCAGAUAGGGGAAGGGAGACAGAUGGAGAGGGAGGGAGAGAGAAGAGAGUGUACAUGGGGUGGCUAGAGGCCAGAGGAACCUCCUACUCUUCCACUGAGGAGAAACUAGAGGCAGGGAAAGAGAGGUGGCUAGAGGCCAGAGGAACCUCCUACUCUUCCACUGAGGAGAAACUAGAGGCAGGGAAAGAGAGGUGGCUAGAGGCCAGAGGAACCUCCUACUAUUCCACUGAGGAGAAACUAGAGGCAGGGAAAGAGAGAGAGCUAGAGGCCAGAGGAACCUCCUACCCUUCCACUGAGGAGAAACUAGAGGCAGGAAAAGAGAGGUGGCUCGAGGCCAGAGGAACCUCCUACUCUUCCACUGAGGAGAAAC